AUACGGAGGGUGCAAGCGUUGUUCGGAAUCACUGGGCGUAAAGGGCGCGCAGGCGGUUUGGUAAGUCAGAUGUGAAAGCCCACGGCUCAACCAUGGAAGUGCAUUUGAAACUGUCAGACUUGAGUACUAGAGGGGAAAGUGGAAUUCCCGGUGUAGAGGUGAAAUUCGUAGAUAUCGGGAGGAAUACCGGUGGCGAAGGCGACUUUCUGGCUAGAUACUGACGCUGAGGCGCGAAAGCGUGGGGAGCAAACAGGAUUAGAAACCCUAGUAGUCC
Molecule: ribosomal RNA, 274 nt
Filed under: uncultured bacterium
Lineage: Bacteria
Description: partial 16S ribosomal RNA
Rfam family: Bacterial small subunit ribosomal RNA
Source: RNAcentral